GUAGGUGAACCUGCGGAAGGAUCAUUAUUGAAACUUGAAUCGUAGCAUUGAGAACUGUUGCUGACCUGUUAAAGGGUAUGUGCACGUUCGACGUGUUGCGUUCUAUUCAUCCACCUGUGCACCUUUGUAGACUUGAUUAACUUUCGCUCUCGAGCGGUUAGAAGGGUUGCUUUCGAGCUCCCUUUGUCUAUCAAGUCUAUGUCUAUAUAAUCUCUUGUAUGUCUAGAAUGUCUUGUUUAUGGGACGCAAGUCCUUUAAAUCUUAUACAACUUUCAACAACGGAUCUCUUGGCUCUC
RNAcentral lists this unclassified non-coding RNA (296 nucleotides) under rhizosphere metagenome. RNAcentral describes it as "partial ribosomal RNA internal transcribed spacer region". The record is from RNAcentral.